CUUGACACCAGGCUUACAUCCAAAUACAGAUUUACCCAGAAAAGAAUGAAACAAUGUUCAGAACCACUGAAAACUGUGUUCAAGGAAGUCAUUUGGAUUUUUUUGAGACAGGGGUCUUACUCUGUUGCCCAGGCUGGAAUGCAAUGGUACAGUCUUGGCUCACUACAGCCUCUACCGCUCCCGCUCAAGUAAUCCUUCCACCUCAGCCCCCUGAGUAGCUGGGACUACAAGCACAUGCCACCAUGCCAGGCUAAUUUUUGUAUUUUUUGUAGAGACUGUGUUUCACCGUAUUGCCCGGGCUGGUCUUGAACUCUUGGACUCAAGCAAUCCACCUGCCUCAGCCUCCCAAAGUGCUCACAGGCAUGAGGCAACGUGCCCAGCCUCAUUUGAUACUUUUAAAAUAUAUUUUUAAUAUUUUUUUCCUCCAAGAUGCCUCCCCCAUUGUGUAACUUUCAGGUCUUACAAACCUGGAUCCACCCCAGCAGUCUGAGUUGCAUAUAUACAUACCUCCUGUUUACAUGUUCCUCCUCCCACUAUUAUGUCACCUUUCUAAACACCGCAAUUGGGAGAUGAGACAAUGCACAGGAACCAAGAACUGUUCUGGUGAACAGGACCCAGGGACAGUGAGAGGGGGCUAGGGACAAAAGGUGAAUGGGGAGCUGGUUCAGGUUAGAAGAAUGGGUGCAUGUGAGGGGCAUUUGGAGAAUGCCAGCUGGGGGAGGGAGAGUGGCUGAGCCUGUGGGCACAGUAGACACAUGUAGUAAUGACAGGGAUGUGUUAUGCCCCACACCAGGUGUUGUCCUACAUCAAUGGGGUCACAACAAGCAAACCUGGAGUAUCCUUGGUGUACUCUAUGCCCUCCCGGAACCUGUCCCUGCGGCUGGAGGGUCUCCAGGAGAAAGACUCUGGCCCCUACAGCUGCUCCGUGAAUGUGCAAGACAAACAAGGCAAAUCUAGGGGCUACAGCAUCAAAACCUUAGAACUCAAUGUACUGGUUCCUCCAGCUCCUCCAUCCUGCCGUCUCCAGGGUAUGCCCCGUGUGGGGGCAAACGUGACCCUGAGCUGCCAGUCUCCAAGGAGUAAGCCCGCUGUCCAAUACCAGUGGGAUCGGCAGCUUCCAUCCUUCCAGACUUUCUUUGCACCAGCAUUAGAUGUCAUCCGUGGGUCUUUAAGCCUCACCAACCUUUCCUCUUCCAUGGCUGGAGUCUAUGUCUGCAAGGCCCACAAUGAGGUGGGCACUGCCCAGUGUAAUGUGACCCUGGAAGUGAGCACAGGGCCUGGAGCUGCGGUGGUUGCUGGAGCUGUUGUGGGUACCCUGGUUGGACUGGGGUUGCUGGCUGGGCUGGUCCUCUUGUACCACCGCCGGGGCAAGGCCCUGGAGGAGCCAGCCAAUGAUAUCAAGGAGGAUGCCAUUGCUCCCCGGACCCUGCCCUGGCCCAAGAGCUCAGACACAAUCUCCAAGAAUGGGACCCUUUCCUCUGUCACCUCUGCACGAGCCCUCCGGCCACCCCAUGGCCCCCCCAGGCCUGGUGCAUUGACCCCCACGCCCAGUCUCUCCAGCCAGGCCCUGCCCUCACCAAGACUGCCCACGACAGAUGGGGCCCACCCUCAACCAAUAUCCCCCAUCCCUGGUGGGGUUUCUUCCUCUGGCUUGAGCCGCAUGGGUGCUGUGCCUGUGAUGGUGCCUGCCCAGAGUCAAGCUGGCUCUCUGGUGUGAUGACCCCGCCACUCAUUGGCUAAAUGAUUUGGGGUCUCUCCUUCCUAUAGGGGUCACCUCUAGCACAGAGGCCUGAGUCAUGGGAAAGAGUCACACUCCUGACCCUUAGUACUCUGCCCCCACCUCUCUAUACUGUGGGAAAACCAUCUCAGUAAGACCUAAGUGUCCAGCAGAUAGAAGGAGAAGAGGAAGUGGAUCUGGAAUUGGGAGGAGCCUCCACCCACCCCCGACUCCUCCUUAUGAAGCCAGCUGCUGAAAUUAGCCACUCACCAAGAGUGAGUGGCAGAGACUUCCAGUCACUGAGUCUCCCGGGCCCCCUUGAUCUGUACCACCCCCCUAUCUAACACCACCCUUGGCUCCCACUCCAGCUGCCGGUAUUGAUAUAACCUGUCGGGCUGGCUUGGUUAGGUUUUACUGGGGCAGAGGAUAGGGAAUAUCUUUUUAAAACUAACAUGAAAUAUGUGUUGUUUUCAUUUGCAAAUUUAAAUAAAGAUACAUAAUGUUUGUAUGAGAUAAGAAACAA
This 2240-nucleotide small RNA is filed under the name Pongo abelii (Sumatran orangutan). RNAcentral describes it as "retained intron". The record is from RNAcentral. Lineage: Eukaryota; Metazoa; Chordata; Mammalia; Primates; Hominidae.